RNAcentral lists this ribosomal RNA (253 nucleotides) under uncultured bacterium. RNAcentral's name for it is "partial 16S ribosomal RNA". It matches the Rfam family "Bacterial small subunit ribosomal RNA", at positions 524 to 776 of the family's 1533-position model. The record is from RNAcentral.
UACGUAGGGUGCAAGCGUUGUCCGGAAUUAUUGGGCGUAAAGAGCUCGUAGGCGGCGCGGAUAGUCGGCGGUGAAAGCCCGGAGCUCAACUCCGGGUCGGCCGUCGAUACUUCCGGGCUUGAGCACUGUAGAGGCAGAUGGAAUUCCGGGUGUAGCGGUGGAAUGCGUAGAGAUCCGGAAGAACACCGGUGGCGAAGGCGGUCUGCUGGGCAGUUGCUGACGCUGAUGCGCGAAAGCGUGGGGAGCAAACAGG